Celeribacter marinus is the source of this 48-nucleotide regulatory RNA element. It matches the Rfam family "SAM/SAH riboswitch aptamer". Lineage: Bacteria; Pseudomonadati; Pseudomonadota; Alphaproteobacteria; Rhodobacterales; Roseobacteraceae. The record is from Rfam.
CGGCUCUCACAACGGCUUCCUGACGUGAGGGCGACAACCAUUGGAGCA